RNAcentral lists this ribosomal RNA (253 nucleotides) under uncultured bacterium. Its description in RNAcentral is "partial 16S ribosomal RNA". It matches the Rfam family "Bacterial small subunit ribosomal RNA", at positions 524 to 776 of the family's 1533-position model. The record is from RNAcentral.
UACGUAGGGGGCUAGCGCUGUCCGGAAUCAUUGGGCGUAAAGCGCGUGUAGGCGGUCCGGUAAGUCCGCUGUGAAAGUCGAGGGCUCAACCCUCGAAUGCCGGUGGAUACUGUCGGGCUAGAGUGCGGAAGAGGCGAGUGGAAUUCCUGGUGUAGCGGUGAAAUGCGCAGAUAUCAGGAGGAACACCUAUUGCGAAGGCAGCUCGCUGGGACGUUACUGACGCUGAGACGCGAAAGCGUGGGGAGCAAACAGG